CAAGAAAUAACAAUACAGGGCUUAUAGUCUUGUAAUUGGAAUGAUGGGAAUCUAAACCCUUCCCAGAGUAUCAAUUGGAGGGCAAGUCUGGUGCCAGCAGCCGCGGUAAUUCCAGCUCCAAUAGCGUAUAUUAAAGUUGUUGCAGUUAAGAAGCUCGUAGUUGAAUUUCUGCCUUAUCAUUAAUUUCGCUUCCGAACGUAAUUUUAUUGAUUUGGCAUCUUUACUGGUUUUAUAUAUUUUAUAUAUUUUUCCAGUUAUUUUACUUUGAGAAAACUAGAGUGUUUCAAACAGGCUUUUGCCUUGAAUACUACAGCAUGGAAUAAUGAAGUAGGACUAUUGGUUCUAUUUUGUUGGUUAUUGAACCAUAGUAAUGGUUAAUAGGAGCAGUUGGGGGCAUUCGUAUUUAACUGUCAGAGGUGAAAUUCUUAGAUUUGUUAAAGACGAACUACUGCGAAAGCAUUUGCCAAGGAUGUUUUCAUUAAUCAAGAAC
RNAcentral lists this ribosomal RNA (490 nucleotides) under Babesia microti. RNAcentral describes it as "SSU rRNA". It matches the Rfam family "Eukaryotic small subunit ribosomal RNA", at positions 471 to 984 of the family's 1831-position model. Lineage: Eukaryota; Apicomplexa; Aconoidasida; Piroplasmida; Babesiidae. The record is from RNAcentral.